AGAGUUUGAUCCUGGCUCAGAUUGAACGCUGGCGGCAUGCCUUACACAUGCAAGUCGAACGGCAGCACGGGUGCUUGCACCUGGUGGCGAGUGGCGAACGGGUGAGUAAUAUAUCGGAACGUACCCUAGAGUGGGGGAUAACGUAGCGAAAGUUACGCCAAUACCGCAUACGAUCUACGGAUGAAAGUGGGGGAUCGCAAGACCUCAUGCUCAUGGAGCGGCCGAUAUCUGAUUAGCUAGUUGGUGAGGUAAAAGCUCACCAAGGCUUCGAUCAGUAGCUGGUCUGAGAGGACGACCAGCCACACUGGAACUGAGACACGGUCCAGACUCCUACGGGAGGCAGCAGUGGGGAAUUUUGGACAAUGGGCGCAAGCCUGAUCCAGCAAUGCCGCGUGAGUGAAGAAGGCCUUCGUGUUGUAAAGCUCUUUUGUCAGGGAAGAAACGGAUUUUUCUAAUACAGAGAUCUAAUGACGGUACCUGAAGAAUAAGCACCGGCUAACUACGUGCCAGCAGCCGCGGUAAUACGUAGGGUGCAAGCGUUAAUCGGAAUUACUGGGCGUAAAGCGUGCGCAGGCGGUUGUGCAAGACAGAUGUGAAAUCCCCGGGCUCAACCUGGGAAUUGCAUUUGUGACUGCACGGCUAGAGUGUGUCAGAGGGGGGUAGAAUUCCACGUGUAGCAGUGAAAUGCGUAGAGAUGUGGAGGAAUACCGAUGGCGAAGGCAGCCCCCUGGGAUAACACUGACGCUCAUGCACGAAAGCGUGGGGAGCAAACAGGAUUAGAUACCCUGGUAGUCCACGCCCUAAACGAUGUCUACUAGUUGUCGGGUCUUAAUUGACUUGGUAACGCAGCUAACGCGUGAAGUAGACCGCCUGGGGAGUACGGUCGCAAGAUUAAAACUCAAAGGAAUUGACGGGGACCCGCACAAGCGGUGGAUGAUGUGGAUUAAUUCGAUGCAACGCGAAAAACCUUACCUACCCUUGACAUGUCUGGAAUCCCUGAGAGAUUAGGGAGUGCUCGAAAGAGAAUCAGAACACAGGUGCUGCAUGGCUGUCGUCAGCUCGUGUCGUGAGAUGUUGGGUUAAGUCCCGCAACGAGCGCAACCCUUGUCAUUAGUUGCUACGAAAGGGCACUCUAAUGAUACUGCCGGUGACAAACCGGAGGAAGGUGGGGAUGACGUCAAGUCCUCAUGGCCCUUAUGGGUAGGGCUUCACACGUCAUACAAUGGUACAUACAGAGGGCCGCCAACCCGCGAGGGGGAGCUAAUCCCAGAAAGUGUAUCGUAGUCCGGAUUGGAGUCUGCAACUCGACUCCAUGAAGUUGGAAUCGCUAGUAAUCGCGGACCAGCAUGUCGCGGUGAAUACGUUCCCGGGUCUUGUACACACCGCCCGUCACACCAUGGGAGCGGGUUUCACCAGAAGUGGGUAGCCUAACCGCAAGGAGGGCGCUCACCACGGUGGGAUUCGUGACUGGGGUGAAGUCGGAACAAGGUAGCCGUAUCGGAAGGUGCGGCUG
Molecule: ribosomal RNA, 1513 nt
Filed under: metagenome
Description: bacterial SSU rRNA
Rfam family: Bacterial small subunit ribosomal RNA
Source: RNAcentral